Molecule: ribosomal RNA, 485 nt
Filed under: uncultured bacterium
Lineage: Bacteria
Description: bacterial SSU rRNA
Rfam family: Bacterial small subunit ribosomal RNA
Source: RNAcentral
GAUGAACGCUAGCGACAGGCUUUAACACAUGCAAGUCGAGGGGCAGCGGGGGCGAAAGCUUGCUUUCGCCUGCCGGCGACCGGCGCACGGGUGAGUAAACACGUAUGCAACCUGCCCACCGCAGGGGGAUAAGCCGGAGAAAUCCGGUCUAAUACCGCGUAACAUCCCCGGGAGACAUCUUCCGGGGAUCAAAGGAAGCGAUUCCGGCGGUGGAUGGGCAUGCGGCGCAUUAGCUAGUCGGCGGGGUAACGGCCCACCGAGGCGACGAUGCGUAGGGGUUCUGAGAGGAAGGUCCCCCACACUGGUACUGAGACACGGACCAGACUCCUACGGGAGGCAGCAGUGAGGAAUAUUGGUCAAUGGGCGGAAGCCUGAAACCAGCCAAGUCGCGUGAGGGAAGACGGUCCUAAUGGAUUGUAAAACCUCUUUUGUCAGGGAGCAAAUAAGGGAACGCGUUCCCGUGUGAGAGUACCUGAAGAAAAAGC